ACCAAAAAAAAAAAAAAAUCAGUGGUUGAGAUUGUUAAUUCAUUCAACCAAUGGUUUGUUCUGAGCUGAAAAUCCUGGUAAAUAAUAGUGGCAUGCCUGCUGUAGCAGUACUCGUAGACCGCUGAUGGCAGCCAGCUAUAAAUGCACACAUGAGUAUAAAAUAGGAAGUAGGGUGUGAUUUUCCUACGGUAGACAGGGGGACGUCUCUAAGAAGGUGACAAAUUGAGUAAAAGUCUAAGGGAGGUGAGGGAAGAAGCCACAUGGAUAUCUGCAGAAGUGGUCCUGGCCAGAGUGACAGCUGGUGUGAAGGCCCCGAGCCUUGCGUGUUCACCAGUGCGGAUGCCCACCUGGUGGACCCAGGUGAGUGAGAGGGUGGGGCCUCGCCUUGGGGCCACGGGAGCAGAGUAGGAACGCGUGUGGGGUCUAAGUGGGGAUGGGAGCCUGGAAGCCUAUCCGCUCUGGCCUGAGUCUAGGCAGUGAAGCGUGAGAAGCGCUGCAAUGGUGAGGACUUGAGAGGUUUGAGAUCUGGCCUGAUGCAGGGAACAGACCAAGAGGAGCUGCCCCAGGGAGCCCUUUACUGCAGAGGGACAGUUGUUAGGAGUAGGUUCUAUUUGUCUCUCCAGGCCAACGAGGGCGUGCCCAUCUCUAUGGGGGACAGCAUCUUCGUGGGAGGUAAGGGCUUGGGGCUGCUGCGGGUGGGCCAAGACCCUUCUCUCCAAACCUGCUGGCAGUGAAGGGUAUCCUCGUGCGUUCCAGAUGCAGCAGGCCGCCCAGCCAACUGGGCCCCUGGCCGUAAGAAGAAAGACUUUUCCUGCGCUGACCGAUUGGUGAGCAGGUGACCGAUUGGGGAUCGGUCACCAAUGGUGAGCCCCGCACCCCGCCCUCGAUCUCUGCCUCACCUCUGCCUUUGCCCCAGUUUGCGCUCAACCUUGGCCUGCCCUUCGCCACCCCGGAGGAGUUCUUCCUUAAGCAGCCCACAGCAGCCUUUGUCCUCCCAGCAUUUGACCCGGUGAGGCCCGAGGGGUGGAAGGCAGGGAACAAGCAGGGGAAUGAGGGUCUCAACUUCUUGUUCCACCCCUCCUAGAGGACUGUCUCCUGCUCAGGGCCUCUCUGCCUCCCAGAGUCCAGCUCCCUCCUGAGCUCUGACCCAGAGGUGGUUGUCGCCGUGGGAUUCCCUGGGGGUGAGAUAUCCUGAUCCCCAUCUCUGGGUGCUGUAAGUGUCCUUCUGGGUCCUGGGUAUCCACUGAUAGUGAUUUUGUGCCUCUCAGCUGGGAAGUCCACCUUCCUCAAGAAACAUCUCGUGUCAGCUGGGUACGUCCACGUGAACAGGGUAAGAGGCUGCCGCGCCCCAUCCCACUGGUUCAUUCCCUGGCUGCCCCAACCGGGCCUUCAGGGCUGCCGCCCAGCACCCCUGCCUCCCCCUGCAGUUCUGAUUUGUUGCCCUGCCCCCACCAGGACACCCCUUCAUCUUCUAUUCCCUAUUGGGCAAUUCCUGCUUGUGACCUGCUCUCCUCUGUCCCCAGGAUACAAUAGGCUCCUGGCAGCGCUGUGUGAGCACCUGUGAGGCAGCUCUGAAGCAGAGGAAACGCGUGGUGAUCGACAACACAAAUCCAGACAUCCCAACCAGGGCCAGGUACUUGGCCCCAUGGGAGGUCUCUAGUAGGGCUGGCAAGGGCCUGGUGACAGCGCUUUCCUGGCCUCAACAGGUAUGUCCAGUGUGCCAGGGAUGCAGGUGUUCCCUGCCGUUGUUUCCUCUUCACUGCCACAUUGGAGCAGGCUCGCCACAACAACCGGGUGAGCCCCUGCCCUCCCCCUCCCUCCUGCCCUGCCCUGCCCCUCCCUCCCCGAUGGCCUCACUCUGAACCAUCCCCUAACAGUUCCGGGAGAUGACUGGCUCCUCUCACACACCAGUGUCAGAUGUCGUCAUAUUCGGCUACAGGUACCUCUAGUUAGUAGGCUGUGGGCUGGUAGGGCCUGGCCUCUCCUUACCACCUUCUCUGCCACCAGGAAACAGUUCGAAGCUCCUACGGUGGCGGAAGGCUUCUCUGCAAUCCUGGAGAUCCCAUUCCAGCUGCAGCUAGAGCCGCAACUAGAGCGACUCUACCGGCAGUUCUCUGAGGGCUGAGUUGCCCAGCCCCAUGCUCCCCUCCCUGACCUGGCAAUAAAUGCUAUUUUUCUCCAAGCUUGGCCAGCAUUUUGCUGGGAGGAAGGGUGGUCGUCUUGGAGGUGCGUCACCAGGCCUAGGCCAACCCCACGCCCCCACACACACACGCGCGCGCGCGCACACUUUUCUACAUUUUCAGGUUAACAGAAAAGGAGGGACCUGGACUGGCUCAGGCUGCUCCUCUGCACAUCUCAUGUUCUACACCAAACCACUCCACCCACCUUGGGCUGUGGAAAGGUGUCACUAGGAGGUUGUCAUGAGCAGGUCAAACAAGAGACUGAGAUGAGACAUGGGAAUGUAGGACAUUGAAUGGGCCCCUAUAAGCUAGCCAGAGCUUGGCUCAAGAUGGCCCAUGAGGGCACAGUGAUUGCAAGCUUGCCUAAUCAUGUGUGAGGCCCUGCAUUCAACUCCCAGUACUGCAUGAGGACAAAAUAUCCAGGGCUCAGGUUCUAUUGCAUUGGACUUGAACGCAGGGGAUGUGGGUCUUGGACCUGCCUAUGGAUCCCCCCUCCAGCUACAGGAGGCAAAAACGCCCCUGACCUAUGCUUUCUUACAGGUAAGUCCAGGGGAAAGAAACCAUGAGCACUACCUGCAAGGUCCUGGCACCAGGUACUGGAAACAGAGAACCAACACACGGCUUCAUGCUUCUGACACAAAGGCCCCAGGAGGUGAGGCCACC
This 2843-nucleotide long non-coding RNA is filed under the name Marmota monax (woodchuck). The record is from RNAcentral. Lineage: Eukaryota; Metazoa; Chordata; Mammalia; Rodentia; Sciuridae.